This 431-nucleotide ribosomal RNA is filed under the name uncultured bacterium. RNAcentral's name for it is "partial 16S ribosomal RNA". It matches the Rfam family "Bacterial small subunit ribosomal RNA", at positions 29 to 505 of the family's 1533-position model. The record is from RNAcentral.
AACGAACGCUGGCGGCAUGCCUAACACAUGCAAGUCGAACGAACCCUUCGGGGUUAGUGGCGCACGGGUGCGUAACGCGUGGGAAUCUGCCCUUUGCUUCGGAAUAACUCAGGGAAACUUGUGCUAAUACCGGAUGAUGUCUUCGGACCAAAGAUUUAUCGGCAAGGGAUGAGCCCGCGUAGGAUUAGGUAGUUGGUGGGGUAAAGGCCUACCAAGCCGACGAUCCUUAGCUGGUCUGAGAGGAUGAUCAGCCACACUGGGACUGAGACACGGCCCAGACUCCUACGGGAGGCAGCAGGGGGGAAUAUUGGACAAUGGGCGAAAGCCAGAUCCAGCAAUGCCGCGUGAGUGAUGAAGGCCCUCGGGUCGUAAAGCUCUUUUACCAGGGAUGAUAAUGACAGUACCUGGAGAAGAAGCUCCGGCUAACUCCG